This 395-nucleotide ribosomal RNA is filed under the name Bacillus sp. 1B.11B. Its description in RNAcentral is "bacterial SSU rRNA". It matches the Rfam family "Bacterial small subunit ribosomal RNA", at positions 931 to 1326 of the family's 1533-position model. Lineage: Bacteria; Bacillati; Bacillota; Bacilli; Caryophanales; Bacillaceae. The record is from RNAcentral.
GGUGGAGCAUGUGGUUUAAUUCGAAGCAACGCGAAGAACCUUACCAGGUCUUGACAUCCUCUGACAAUCCUAGAGAUAGGACGUCCCCUUCGGGGGCAGAGUGACAGGUGGUGCAUGGUUGUCGUCAGCUCGUGUCGUGAGAUGUUGGGUUAAGUCCCGCAACGAGCGCAACCCUUGAUCUUAGUUGCCAGCAUUCAGUUGGGCACUCUAAGGUGACUGCCGGUGACAAACCGGAGGAAGGUGGGGAUGACGUCAAAUCAUCAUGCCCCUUAUGACCUGGGCUACACACGUGCUACAAUGGGCAGAACAAAGGGCAGCGAAACCGCGAGGUUAAGCCAAUCCCACAAAUCUGUUCUCAGUUCGGGAUCGCAGUCUGCAACUCGACUGCGUGAAGC